Molecule: ribosomal RNA, 372 nt
Filed under: Triticum aestivum (bread wheat)
Lineage: Eukaryota; Viridiplantae; Streptophyta; Magnoliopsida; Poales; Poaceae
Description: partial small subunit ribosomal RNA
Source: RNAcentral
AUGCCGUUUGGCCUUUGCAAUGCACCGGCAACCUUCCAGUGCCUAAUGAACAGCAUAUUCGGCCGCUAUGUCCGUAAGUUCAUCAUCAUUUUCCUUGAUGACAUAUUGGUCUUCAGCUUUGAUCUACAGGAACAUGAACAACACUUGCGCCUCACACUUGAACUGCUACGCGAACAUCAACUGUUCGCCAAGGCUUCCAAGUGUUCUUUCGCCCAGGAAAGCAUCGAGUACCUGGGCCACAUCAUUUCACAGGCCGGUGUCGCCACGGACACAAGCAAGACGAGCGCAAUGCAGGCGUGGCCGGUGCCCUCUACACUAACUGAAUUGCGUGGUUUUCUUGGCCUCACCGGCUACUACCGCAAGUUCGCCUAA